GUCGAACGGGGCCACCAUUUUUGAAGCGAUUAGCUUGCUAAGAGUGGACAUGUUGGCGGCUUAGUGGCGGACGGGUGAGUAACGCGUGGGUAACCUGCCAUAUACAGGGGGAUAACACUUAGAAAUAGGUGCUAAUACCGCAUAAGCGCACGGAGCUGCAUGGCUCAGUGUGAAAAACUCCGGUGGUAUAUGAUGGACCCGCGUCUGAUUAGCUUGUUGGCGGGGUAACGGCCCACCAAGGCGACGAUCAGUAGCCGGCCUGAGAGGGUGGACGGCCACAUUGGGACUGAGACACGGCCCAAACUCCUACGGGAGGCAGCAGUGGGGAAUAUUGGACAAUGGGGGGAACCCUGAUCCAGCGACGCCGCGUGAGUGAAGAAGUAUUUCGGUAUGUAAAGCUCUAUCAGCAGGGAAGAAAGAAAUGACGGUACCUGACCAAGAAGCCCCGGCUAACUACGUGCCAGCAGCCGCGGUAAUACGUAGGGGGCAAGCGUUAUCCGGAUUUACUGGGUGUAAAGGGAGCGUAGACGGUAAUGCAAGUCUGGAGUGAAAUGCAGGGGCUCAACCCCUGAACUGCUUUGGAAACUGUAUGACUGGAGUGCAGGAGAGGUAAGUGGAAUUCCUAGUGUAGCGGUGAAAUGCGUAGAUAUUAGGAGGAACACCAGUGGCGAAGGCGGCUUACUGGACUGUAACUGACGUUGAGGCUCGAAAGCGUGGGGAGCAAACAGGAUUAGAUACCCUGGUAGUCCACGCCGUAAACGAUGAUCACUAGGUGUCGGUGGGUAUGGACCCAUCGGUG
This 799-nucleotide ribosomal RNA is filed under the name uncultured bacterium. RNAcentral's name for it is "bacterial SSU rRNA". It matches the Rfam family "Bacterial small subunit ribosomal RNA", at positions 1 to 845 of the family's 1533-position model. The record is from RNAcentral.